Molecule: long non-coding RNA, 1297 nt
Filed under: Phoenix dactylifera (date palm)
Lineage: Eukaryota; Viridiplantae; Streptophyta; Magnoliopsida; Arecales; Arecaceae
Description: long non-coding RNA (PDAC_LNC008622)
Source: RNAcentral
GAUAAAUUCACUGGAUUAAUAUUAUAUUUGGGUUUGACACAGAUUAUCGUAAAUUAGAGAUAAAAUGCACAUUGAGUACAAAUUGACUUCAGAAGGAUCUCUUUCCAAGCCGAGCCGUCUAUCUUCCAUGAAGCAUCCCUGAUCUAGCAUCCCGUACGUCCAUUUGAAUGAGUUCAUCACAACAUUCCAGAGUCUUCCCACGUGCAGUCCAUACACCCGUAUAUCCUACUUUCCAUGGAUCAGCAAUUCAGCAUCCACAUCCUUCCAUAUCAGCCUAUCUCCCCCAACUGCAAUCUCCAGCUUCAUCCGUGCAAAAACAGGGGAGAAGGAAUGAUCCCACGCGUCCGCCACAGCGAUCCCGAGCGAUUCCAUUCCAUCAUCCUGUGGCUAAAGAAGGAAGUCCACAUCCCCAGCUCCUUCCGUCCGUGAUCAAUCCCAGCCUGCAUCACGCGUCCGUCUUCCUCUUCCGCGCCCAGCAGCCCACGUUCUUCACGCGGUGAACGUCUUCUUCCUCCCGUCGAUCACGCUCCCAGCUCCUCCACGGAAUCCCAGCGGCCAGCCCCUCUUCCCAGCCGGCCGUGAUCAGCAUGCCAGCCCAGCUGCAAGGCAUCUUCAAAUUUUCCGCAAUGAUCCCAGCAAUCACCCGUGAAUAACCCCCUCCACGGAUCACGUCAUUCUCCCAGCUUGUUCUGCGAUCCGCCCAGCCGAUUCAAGGAUCCGCUCCUUCCAGCCGUCCGCACCUCUUCCGAAGCAGAUCCAGCCUCCUCCCAGCAAAGAUCCCGCAUCAUCCUCUUCCGCAUCACGCCAAGGAUCACGCGGCCAGUCGGGAUGCCUCUCCCAUCCGCGCUCAUCAUUCGGAUCCACCUCCCGAGAUCCUGCUCCCGUUUCUCCUCCUCUCCAUGCUGUGGCGAUCUAUAAAUAGGGGAGAAUGAGAGGAGGGAUGGGCGCUCGGCGGGGUGGUCGGCUGGUUCAAGAGGGAGGAAAGGGAGGCCAUUGGUUUGGGAGAGAAGAGAGAAAGGAAAAAAAAACAGAGCAUAGCUCUGUUCUUGAGAAGAAGAAAGAAAGAAAAAAAAUAUUAUUUUAUGUUGAAGUUCCACCGUGGGAGAGGGAAAAGAGAAGUAAUUUGUUUUUGUUUUCUUUUCUUUAUUUUAUUUGCAAAAUAGAAGGAGUAUUAGGCCUCUAAUCUCCAUUUUUAUUUGUAAUCAAUUUUUCUUUUUAUGAAAUCCAUCAAUUUUCUUUCGUGCAAUCCCUGUUCUAGAUUCAAGUUAAUUUCUUUUUAUGCAAUCCUUUAAUUUUU